AUUUAUUUAGUAUAAAAAGUAUAUCCGAUUUCCAAUCAGAAGGUUUAAAAGUUAAAAUAAAUA
This 63-nucleotide transfer RNA is filed under the name Loxoblemmus equestris. Its description in RNAcentral is "tRNA-Gly". The record is from RNAcentral. Lineage: Eukaryota; Metazoa; Arthropoda; Insecta; Orthoptera; Gryllidae.